Long non-coding RNA from Cucumis melo (muskmelon), 352 nucleotides. RefSeq lists it as uncharacterized. The transcript is spliced from 3 exons. NCBI's taxonomy places the organism in Eukaryota, Viridiplantae, Streptophyta, Magnoliopsida, Cucurbitales, Cucurbitaceae. The record is from RefSeq and is a predicted model, not a curated record.
CCUAAGCCUUCCUUCCUCCACUCCGGGUCACGGUAUUAAGGAGUUGACGUAUAAGUUCUCGGGUUCCGCGGCAGGCUUGUUUGGAGAUAGCUUUCCUUUCCUUGGGUGGAUCCGUUGAGCGUGGACUCGAUCGAGGGGCAUAACCGAGUAUCAGGUAAGGGUUUUCCUACUACUGGACCUCGAAUCGAGGCUGGAAACGUAAUAAUCCACAGGGGAUUACACGUUAGUAACUGUACCGAAUAAAUGUAUGUGUGAUUGACUUUUAAGUAUUGUUGCUAUACUCUUGUCUGAUGUAAAGGUAACGCGACCGCUAGUUGUAGCUUGUGUGCUAUCGGGUGUAAGGAGUUGCUUG